AUUAAUUGCUAGGGGUGCCCAAAAGUGGCUGAGAUAGAGCUAUUGCUCUUGUCCCUUCGAACCUGAUCUGGUUAAUACCAGCGUAGGAAAGCAAAUCGUUUAAUAU
Molecule: non-coding RNA, 106 nt
Filed under: Desulfosporosinus acidiphilus
Lineage: Bacteria; Bacillati; Bacillota; Clostridia; Eubacteriales; Desulfitobacteriaceae
Description: TPP sequence
Rfam family: TPP riboswitch aptamer (THI element)
About the family: Vitamin B(1) in its active form thiamin pyrophosphate (TPP) is an essential coenzyme that is synthesised by coupling of pyrimidine and thiazole moieties in bacteria.
Source: RNAcentral